UACGGGGGGGGCAAGCGUUGUUCGGAAUUACUGGGCGUAAAGGGCGCGUAGGCGGUUUGCUAAGUUGGAUGUGAAAACUCUGGGCUUAACCCAGAGCCUGCAUCCAAAACUAGCAGGCUAGAGUUCUGGAGGGGAUAGCGGAAUUCCUGGUGUAGCGGUGAAAUGCGUAGAUAUCAGGAGGAACACCGGUGGCGAAGGCGGCUAUCUGGACAGAAACUGACGCUGAGGCGCGAAAGCUAGGGGAGCAAACAGG
Molecule: ribosomal RNA, 253 nt
Filed under: uncultured bacterium
Lineage: Bacteria
Description: partial 16S ribosomal RNA
Rfam family: Bacterial small subunit ribosomal RNA
Source: RNAcentral